This is a long non-coding RNA of Oncorhynchus tshawytscha (Chinook salmon), 1284 nucleotides long. NCBI's taxonomy places the organism in Eukaryota, Metazoa, Chordata, Actinopteri, Salmoniformes, Salmonidae. The record is from Ensembl.
GGGCACUCUGUUCACAAUGUUGACAUCAGGAAACCACUCGCCCACACAACGCCAUACACGCUCCCUGCCAUCUGCCCGGUACAGUUGAAACCCGGGAUUCAUCCGUGAAGAGAGAACUUCUCCAGUGUGCCAGUGGUCAUUGAAGGCCUACCAGUUGCUGACACUGUCCUUUGCAGACUUACCCAGGGUUCCAUCCAAGUCUGUCUGGUUCCUGUAACUGAGAGGUGCUGAUGAAGUGGUCUCUCUCUCUCUCCACUGAGCUGAGCAGCUCCACUACCAGAGACUCCACCUCUCUCUGUCCAGGGCAAUGCCCGGCAGCUGUUCUGUAAGGGUGAGCUCCAUCAUGGAGUUGUAUGGGCGGGAUGAUGUCAUAAUCAUCAGACUUUCCGGCCACUCAGGGAGGCCGACCCAGAAUGGGCCUAUCUGAUGGUGACCCGGGCGACAAGGCUGGCCAGUGAUGUCACGGACACAUGACCUGGGGCCAUGGUAAACUCAGGCAGGUCUCUGGUUCGGCGGUGCUGCCUCACAUUUGCGGCCAGUCCGUCUGAAGGGCCCGAGUGGUACUAAUGCGAUGGGCUGGUUGAGGCGGGUUGGGACUCUGGUGCCCCAUUAAGUUUGGCCUCGAGGAUCAUAAGGUUACAAGUUCAGCCACUCAAAUCUGGACUGGCCUGGGGUAAUGUGAUCUGAAGGUCCGCACUGAGUCUUCCUAUCACUACCACCAGAGAUGCUAUUAAAGACAGAGGCGAUUAGUAGAGAGAGAGUAGAGUACGAAGAGGCGGAGGGAGAAAUAGAGAGAGAUACACGAAGAGGAGACACUCUUCAGUCUGCAUCUCCCAAGAGCGGAUACAGCACAGGUCAUUGGCGUGACCUGUGACAGAUCUUUGGUGUGGCAGGUCAUGAGAGACCCUAACCACAGGCCCUGACCACCUAAUCGAGAGUCGACACCAAUCCUUCAUCUCAUCUCUGGAAUCACUUCAUGAUCUUCGAUCUAGACUUGAGUCUUUCUUCCUUACCCCAACAGUACCCACCCACCAAGGCCUCUCCUCAUUCUCUCCUGUCCCUCAGUGAUAUCCUCUGUGUAUUUGAAGAGCUGGGGUGAUACAGUUCCUCUUGUUGCAUCUCGAUGCCCACAAGUUUAACGUUUUUUUAUUACAGUCUUUGAAAAGCAGUGUUUUCCUUCAUUGUCUGAGAUAAUUACUUAUGGAAUAAACCUUGACGUUCUUUAGACACUUUAUGGCUCUAAAAGCAAGGCUUCUCUUUACCUGUAUGUCAAUUUCCCUUUGA